Molecule: ribosomal RNA, 253 nt
Filed under: uncultured bacterium
Lineage: Bacteria
Description: partial 16S ribosomal RNA
Rfam family: Bacterial small subunit ribosomal RNA
Source: RNAcentral
AACGUAGGUGGCAAGCGUUAUCCGGAAUCAUUGGGCGUAAAGCGCACGUAGGCGGUCUGUUAUGUCGGAUGUGAAAGCCCUUGGCUUAACUGAGGAAGUGCAUCCGAAACUGGCAGGCUAGAGUACUAAAGAGGGUCGCGGAAUUCCCGGUGUAGAGGUGAAAUUCGUAGAUAUCGGGAGGAACACCGGUGGCGAAGGCGGCGACCUGGGUAGAUACUGACGCUGAGGUGCGAAAGCGUGGGGAGCAAACAGG